RNAcentral lists this ribosomal RNA (867 nucleotides) under uncultured bacterium. RNAcentral describes it as "bacterial SSU rRNA". It matches the Rfam family "Bacterial small subunit ribosomal RNA", at positions 26 to 898 of the family's 1533-position model. The record is from RNAcentral.
AGGACGAACGCUGGCGGCGUGCUUAACACAUGCAAGUCGAGCGGAAAGGCCCUUUCGGGGGUACUCGAGCGGCGAACGGGUGAGUAACACGUGGAUAACCUGCCCUCGACACCCGGGAUAGCCCGGGGAAACUCGGAUUAAUACCGGAUAGCCCUUUCGGCUCUCGAGCCGGUCGGAAAAGGUAGCUUCGGCCUCUGGUCGAGGAUGGGUCCGCGGCGGAUUAGCUUGUUGGUGGGGUAAUGGCCUACCAAGGCACCGAUCCGUAGCUGGUCUGAGAGGACGAUCAGCCACACUGGGACUGAGAUACGGUCCAGACUCCUACGGGAGGCAGCAGUGGGGAAUCUUGCGCAAUGGGCGAAAGCCUGACGCAGCGACGCCGCGUGGGGGAUGAAUGCCUUCGGGUUGUAAACCCCUUUCGGCAGGGACGAAGCGAUUGUGUCGGUACCUGCAGAAGAAGCUCCGGCUAACUACGUACCAGCAGCCGCGGUAAGACGUAGGGAGCGAGCGUUGUCCGGAUUCAUUGGGCGUAAAGCGCGCGUAGGCGGUUUGGUAAGUCGGAUGUGAAAACACGAGGCUCAACCUCGUGCGUGCAUCCGAUACUGCCCGACUAGAGGUAGGUAGGGGAGAUCGGAAUUCCUGGUGUAGCGGUGAAAUGCGCAGAUAUCAGGAGGAACACCGGUGGCGAAGGCGGAUCUCUGGGCCUUACCUGACGCUGAGGUGCGAAAGCUAGGGGAGCGAACAGGAUUAGAUACCCUGGUAGUCCUAGCCGUAAACGUUGGGUGCUAGGUGUGGGGGGACAUUGACCCCCUCCGUGCCGAAGCUAACGCAUUAAGCACCCCGCCUGGGGAGUACGGCCGCAAGGCUAAA